UCUGUUGAAUUAAAAUAACAGAUCCAUCCUGCCCAGUGAAUUUUUAACGGCCGCGGUAUCCUGACCGUGCAAAGGUAGCAUAAUCAUUUGCCUUUUAAUUGGAGGCUAGAAUGAACGGACAAACGAAGUUUUACCUGUCUCUUUUAGGCCAAUAAAAAUUAAUUUCUAGGUGAAGAAACCUAGAUUUCAUAAAAAGACAAGAAGACCCUUUUGAGUUUUACCUUAAGUGCUUCCAUUUAUGCCUUAAUGUUUGGUUGGGGCGACCAAGGAAUAAUUAAGUCUUCCUUUAUUACUCUGACUUAACAGUCUAAUAUAUUGACCCUUUACUGAUCUACUGAAUUAACUACCAUAGGGAUAACAGGCUUAUUUUCUCGGAGAGUCCAUAUUAAUGAGAAAGUUUGGCACCUCGAUGUUGGCUUAGGGAAACCUCUAAAUGCAGAAGUUUAGAAAAGUUAGUUUGUUCAACUAUUAAUUCCCUACGUGAU
RNAcentral lists this ribosomal RNA (485 nucleotides) under Pisione remota. RNAcentral describes it as "partial 16S ribosomal RNA". It matches the Rfam family "Bacterial large subunit ribosomal RNA", at positions 1819 to 2604 of the family's 2925-position model. The record is from RNAcentral. Lineage: Eukaryota; Metazoa; Annelida; Polychaeta; Phyllodocida; Pisionidae.